This 497-nucleotide ribosomal RNA is filed under the name uncultured bacterium. RNAcentral's name for it is "partial 16S ribosomal RNA". It matches the Rfam family "Bacterial small subunit ribosomal RNA", at positions 28 to 507 of the family's 1533-position model. The record is from RNAcentral.
GACGAACGCUGGCGGCGUGCCUAAUACAUGCAAGUUGAGCGCUGAAGGUUGGUACUUGUACCCACUGGAUGAGCAGCGAACGGGUGAGUAACGCGUGGGGAAUCUGCCUUUGAGCGGGGGACAACAUUUGGAAACGAAUGCUAAUACCGCAUAAAAACUUUAAACACAAGUUUUAAGUUUGAAAGAUGCAAUUGCAUCACUCAAAGAUGAUCCCGCGUUGUAUUAGCUAGUUGGUGAGGUAAAGGCUCACCAAGGCGAUGAUACAUAGCCGACCUGAGAGGGUGAUCGGCCACAUUGGGACUGAGACACGGCCCAAACUCCUACGGGAGGCAGCAGUAGGGAAUCUUCGGCAAUGGACGAAAGUCUGACCGAGCAACGCCGCGUGAGGGAAGAAGGUUUUCGGAUCGGAAAACUCUGUUGGUAGAGAAGAACGUUGGUGAGAGUGGAAAGCUCAUCAAGUGACGGUAACUACCCAGAAAGGGACGGCUAACUACGUG